Long non-coding RNA from Olea europaea var. sylvestris, 927 nucleotides. RefSeq lists it as uncharacterized. The record is from RefSeq and is a predicted model, not a curated record. Lineage: Eukaryota; Viridiplantae; Streptophyta; Magnoliopsida; Lamiales; Oleaceae. The transcript is spliced from 3 exons.
AAAAUUUUGCUCUCCAAUCAAUGCUACACAGUAAAUGUUAAAGUUGAUGGAUAUUACGUAAUGAAUGUGUAGGGUUCGGGAAGUAAUAUUAAAACAAUAUAGGUUUGGGAAUUGGUAGUUAUCGAUUUCUGUUUCGGGAAUGAAGAAGAAUUUGGGUACCUAACCAUUACCUUCCUUGUGUUCUGCAAUACUUUGCCCGCAAAUUUGUCUACUGCUGCAUAGUUUGAGCAAUGAGAGAUGAUUGAUCUAUUACUCAACGCAAUUCACCUUGUAUAACUAUUAUCUGUUCUGCUACCUGACCUACUACCCUUGUAGAUGGUAGAAAUGGUGGAAAUUCUGAUUACGAGGGCUCUCGUCGACAAGGCAGAGAGUAUAUUACUGAAUCCCUGACAUUGAAGAAGAAGAUUACCAUCGUACGCGAUACAGAGAUAUAUUUCUCAAAGAGAAUCUCAGACUAUGAAUCACGAAGAACCUCAGAUCUUGAUUCCAGACCGGAGAAAAAUCCACGAUUUCGUGAGCAUGGUAAUUCUGAUGAUGAUGAUGAGGAAGAUGACCGUUAACAGUUUUGGAAUGCCAGUACGUAAUUUAAGGUGAUGUCAAAAUCCAAUAAAAUAUCGAGUUUUUCAAUUGGAAUAAACAAUAUUUCCGCCCAUCCUGGCCGACGAUGGCUCUGCACAUUGAAACGUCAGCCCUGAGAUUAAUAGUUCAUCUAGAACUGUUCUCACCGGUGCCCUAAAUGAUUAUGAUCAUCUGAAAUAUUGAGCACAAACUCAAGCAUGCCUUGUUUUUUCGGAAAAUAUCGGUUCUAAAUUUUCUUCGGAUGUCUUACAAUGAUUAAUAGUGUGUCACACUCGUUAUUUAUGAUAUUAGGGUAUAGUUAAACAAUAAUGCUAUUUAGGGGCAUCGACAGGUGUGCCAACCAUGUCU